AGAGUUUGAUCCUGGCUCAGAAUGAACGCUGGCGGCGUGCUUAACACAUGCAAGUCGAACGAGAAAGUGGGCUUCGGUCCAUGAGUAGAGUGGCGCACGGGUGAGUAACACGUGGGUAAUCUACCCCUCAAUUUGGGAUAACAUUGCGAAAGUGAUGCUAAUACCGAAUAACAUCCAUAAAGCUUUGGUUUAAUGGAUCAAAGGUGGCCAAUCCUUGGAAGCUACUGUUGGGGGAUGAGCCCGCGUACCAUUAGCUAGUUGGUAGGGUAAUGGCCUACCAAGGCGACGAUGGUUAGCUGGUCUGAGAGGAUGAUCAGCCACACUGGAACUGACACACGGUCCAGACUCCUACGGGAGGCAGCAGUGAGGAAUUUUGCGCAAUGGGGGCAACCCUGACGCAGCAACGCCGCGUGAACGAAGAAGGCCUUCGGGUCGUAAAGUUCUUUUCUCGAGGAAGAAGAAAUGACGGUACUCGAGGAAUAAGCACCGGCUAACUACGUGCCAGCAGCCGCGGUAAUACGUAGGGUGCAAGCGUUAUCCGGAAUCACUGGGCGUAAAGGGUGCGUAGGCGGUUAGACAAGUCAGAAGUGAAAGGCAGUGGCUCAACCACUGUAAGCUUUUGAAACUGUUUAACUUGAAUGCAGGAGAGGCAAGUGGAAUUCCUAGUGUAGCGGUGAAAUGCGUAGAUAUUAGGAGGAACACCAGUGGCGAAGGCGACUUGCUGGACUGUAAUUGACGCUGAGGCACGAAAGCGUGGGGAGCAAACAGGAUUAGAUACCCUGGUAGUCC
RNAcentral lists this ribosomal RNA (789 nucleotides) under uncultured bacterium. RNAcentral's name for it is "bacterial SSU rRNA". It matches the Rfam family "Bacterial small subunit ribosomal RNA", at positions 8 to 796 of the family's 1533-position model. The record is from RNAcentral.